This 70-nucleotide transfer RNA is filed under the name Kinyongia tavetana. RNAcentral's name for it is "transfer RNA-Trp". Lineage: Eukaryota; Metazoa; Chordata; Lepidosauria; Squamata; Chamaeleonidae. The record is from RNAcentral.
AGACCUUAGGAUUAUUACUAAACCAGAAGCCUUCAAAGCCUCUAAAAAGAGAACAACCUCUUAGCUCCUG